RNAcentral lists this ribosomal RNA (490 nucleotides) under uncultured bacterium. Its description in RNAcentral is "bacterial SSU rRNA". It matches the Rfam family "Bacterial small subunit ribosomal RNA", at positions 39 to 524 of the family's 1533-position model. The record is from RNAcentral.
UGGGGCAUGCCUACCAUGCAAGUCUCGAGGCAGCAGGUCCUUCGGGAUGCUGGCGAGUGGCGGACGGGUGAGUAAUGCGUAGGAACCUAUCCUUUUGUGGGGGACAACCCAGGGAAACUUGGGCUAAUACCGCAUAAGCCCUGAGGGGGAAAGCGGGGGAUCUUCGGACCUCGUGCUGAAGGAGGGGCCUACGUCCGAUUAGCUAGUUGGUGGGGUAAAGGCCUACCAAGGCGACAAUCGGUAGCUGGUCUGAGAGGACGACCAGCCACACUGGGACUGAGACACGGCCCAGACUCCUACGGGAGGCAGCAGUGGGGAAUUUUUCGCAAUGGGGGCAACCCUGACGAAGCAAUGCCGCGUGGAUGAAGAACGCCUUCGGGUUGUAAAGUCCUUUCGUGGGGGACGAUAAGGCGGAUCCGAAUACGGUCUGCUAUUGACGUGAACCCCUAGAAGAUACACCGGCUAACUCCGUGCCAGCAGCCGCGGUAAU